This 305-nucleotide RNase P RNA is filed under the name Paracoccaceae bacterium. RNAcentral's name for it is "Rhodobacteraceae bacterium (activated sludge metagenome) partial RNase P RNA component class A". It matches the Rfam family "Bacterial RNase P class A", at positions 97 to 367 of the family's 367-position model. From Rfam's summary of the family: Ribonuclease P (RNase P) is a ubiquitous endoribonuclease, found in archaea, bacteria and eukarya as well as chloroplasts and mitochondria. Its best characterised activity is the generation of mature 5'-ends of tRNAs by cleaving the 5'-leader elements of precursor-tRNAs. Cellular RNase Ps are ribonucleoproteins. Lineage: Bacteria; Pseudomonadati; Pseudomonadota; Alphaproteobacteria; Rhodobacterales; Paracoccaceae. The record is from RNAcentral.
ACCCGAGGGAAAGCGCCACAGAGAUGAAACCGCCCGCGUCCGCGCGGGUAAGGGUGAAACGGUGGGGUAAGAGCCCACCGCGGACCUGGCAACAGGGACGGCACGGCAAGCCCCACCGGGAGCAAUGCCAAAUAGGGGCCUCGCGCGGGGGCCGGUCCGGCAACGGAGACCGCCCGCAGGGACGCUUCAGCCCGAGAGGCCCGGGUUGGCAGCUUGAGCGCGCCGGUAACGGCGGGCCAAGAGGAAUGGUCAUCCAGAGGGGUCCGCCCCUUGGACAGAAUCCGGCUUACAGGUCCUCCGCGCAU